GUAGAUAUAGUUUAAUCAAAACGCUAGAUUGUGAUUCUAGAAACAGAGGUUAAAGCCCCCUUAUCCACC
RNAcentral lists this transfer RNA (69 nucleotides) under Peristedion thompsoni. Its description in RNAcentral is "tRNA-His". It matches the Rfam family "tRNA". Rfam says of the family: Transfer RNA (tRNA) molecules are approximately 80 nucleotides in length. The record is from RNAcentral. Lineage: Eukaryota; Metazoa; Chordata; Actinopteri; Perciformes; Peristediidae.